CUCUCUCUCUCCCAGCCCCUUCCUGGAGGUUAUCACCGGGAGCACAGGACUCUGUGGUACAUGCACCCAAGAUGUACUAUCGACUCACCGCCAUUGAAGAGAAUGAAGGAGAAUGUGCCACUUCUGAGACUGAGUCAUGGGAAGCACCGCGGCCUCCAUCUUGGAUGAGAAGCAACAAGGAACAUGUAAAUGAGAGAAGGCAGAGAGGACUGUGACAAGGAGUCUGUGACUUUGGCUGUGCUAGGGCAGAAGAGGCAGUUUAAGACACUGAAAGAUGGACAUCAAGACAAAGGUGGAAGGUGGUGAGGAGAUGUGGGACCUCUCUAACCCGCUGGUGAGUUAGAGGUCCUGA
Molecule: long non-coding RNA, 352 nt
Organism: Neofelis nebulosa (Clouded leopard)
Lineage: Eukaryota; Metazoa; Chordata; Mammalia; Carnivora; Felidae
Exons: 3
Source: RefSeq, a predicted model, not a curated record